Molecule: unclassified non-coding RNA, 822 nt
Filed under: Hevea brasiliensis (rubber tree)
Lineage: Eukaryota; Viridiplantae; Streptophyta; Magnoliopsida; Malpighiales; Euphorbiaceae
Source: RNAcentral
AUUAGAAUACUUAAUUAUAGGACUUUGUAUAUAAAUACCUUACAUCUCAUUCAAGAAAAUAUACAGAAAAUAUUCUCUUCAUGGUAUCAGAGCCUAGGUUCCCUAGCCUGAAAUUUUUUUUGAAAUAUAUAUAUUUUUUCUCUAGUUCUUCUCCUCCGACAAGUGCUGUCUUCUAGGAGAACUCAAUAGAGUUAUCACAGUGUCUCACCACCCAUCUUAGGAGAAGGCCCAGGUGCCGAUCAGCCACCCUCGGAAGUCCGGCGACCGAACUUGAAGCGCGUAGCCUUCACGCGCCAUUCUUAAGUUCUGAUCCCUAUUCCACGCGCCGGCGCGUGACCGCGUGUGUGGUAUUUUCCCGCAACAUCUAGCAGCUAGACCUCCUCCCCCGGCAUCGCCCCAACCUAGUGAUUCCAUUCCUAUAGGCUGUGUUAAGUUUUGAGGCUUCGAUCUUGGUGGGGCUUGAAGAUCCUCCUUUUCGGGUCACAGUUUCAUAAGUAUCUGUUAACAUCUGACAAUCUCUUGGUUUGUGGACUGUGGAUAGUUAAAGUGCAAUGGCUGAGGGUGAGACGAAGUCUAUAAUUUCUGAUGUAGUCCUGGUUAUGACUAAAAUCACUAAACACAAACUUAAUGGCUUGAAUUACUUGGAAUGGGACAAAACUGUUCAGAUUUAUUUGCAAAGUAUUGAUAAAGAUGAUCAUCUUACAAAUGAUCUACCGAAUGAUGAUACCAGACAAGCUUGGCUGAGGGAAUAUGCUCGUUUAUUCUUACAGCUUCAGAAUUGAAUUCACAGUGAGGUAGUGAGUCUUAUUAAUCACUAUGAGU